GACGAACGCUGGCGGCGUGCUUAACACAUGCAAGUCGAACGCUGAAGCUUGGUGCUUGCACUGGGUGGAUGAGUGGCGAACGGGUGAGUAAUACGUGAGUAACCUGCCCUUGACUCUGGGAUAAGCCUGGGAAACUGGGUCUAAUACUGGAUACGACAUGUCACCGCAUGGUGGUGUGUGGAAAGGGUUCUACUGGUUUUGGAUGGGCUCACGGCCUAUCAGCUAGUUGGUGAGGUAACGGCUCACCAAGGCGACGAUGGGUAGGGGAACUGAGAGGUUGAACCCCCACACUGGUACUGAGACACGGACCAGACUCCUACGGGAGGCAGCAGUGAGGAAUAUUGGUCAAUGGGCGAGAGCCUGAACCAGCCAAGUCGCGUGAAGGAUGACUGUCUUAUGGAUUGUAAACUUCUUUUAUACGGGAAUAACAAGAGUCACGAGUGACUCCCUGCAUGUACCGUAUGAAUAAGCAUCGGCUAACUCCGUGCCAGCAGCCGCGGUAAUACGGAGGAUGCGAGCGUUAUCCGGAUUUAUUGGGUUUAAAGGGUGCGUAGGCGGCCUGUUAAGUCAGCGGUGAAAUCUAGGAGCUUAACUCCUAAAUUGCCAUUGAUACUGGCGGGCUUGAGUGUAGAUGAGGUAGGCGGAAUGCGUGGUGUAGCGGUGGAAUGCAUAGAUAUCACGCAGAACUCCGAUUGCGAAGGCAGCUUACUAAGGUACAACUGACGCUGAAGCACGAAAGCGUGGGUAUCAAACAGGAUUAGAUACCCUGGUAGUCCACGCAGUAAACGAUGAUAACUGGGCGUAUGCGAUAUACAGUAUGCUCCUAAGCGAAAGCGUUAAGUUAUCCACCUGGGGAGUACGCCGGCAACGGUGAAACUCAAAGGAAUUGACGGGGGCCCGCACAAGCGGAGGAACAUGUGGUUUAAUUCGAUGAUACGCGAGGAACCUUACCCGGGAUUGAAAUGUAGAUGACCGCUCCUGAAAGGGAGUUUUCCUUCGGGACAUCUAUGUAGGUGCUGCAUGGUUGUCGUCAGCUCGUGCCGUGAGGUGUCGGCUUAAGUGCCAUAACGAGCGCAACCCCUGUCUACGGUUGCCAUCAGGUGAUGCUGGGAACUCCGUAGAGACUGCCGUCGUAAGGCGUGAGGAAGGUGGGGAUGACGUCAAAUCAGCACGGCCCUUACAUCCGGGGCGACACACGUGUUACAAUGGUAAGGACAAAGGGCAGCUACCUGGCGACAGGAUGCGAAUCUCUAAACCUUAUCACAGUUCGGAUCGGAGUCUGCAACUCGACUCCGUGAAGCUGGAUUCGCUAGUAAUCGCGCAUCAGCCAUGGCGCGGUGAAUACGUUCCCGGGCCU
RNAcentral lists this ribosomal RNA (1357 nucleotides) under uncultured bacterium. RNAcentral's name for it is "bacterial SSU rRNA". It matches the Rfam family "Bacterial small subunit ribosomal RNA", at positions 28 to 1381 of the family's 1533-position model. The record is from RNAcentral.